AUUGAACGCUGGCGGCAGGCCUAACACAUGCAAGUCGAGCGGAUGAAGGGUGCUUGCUCCUGGAUUCAGCGGCGGACGGGUGGGUAAUGCCUAGGAAUCUGCCUGGUAGUUGGUUAUAACGUCCGGAAGCGGGCGCUAAUACCGCAUACGUCCUGAGGGAGAAAGGGUGGGAUCUUCGGACCUCACGCUAUCAGAUGAGCCUAGGUCGGAUUAGCUAGUUGGUGGGGUAAAGGCCUACCAAGGCGACGAUCCGUAGCUGGUCUGAGAGGAUGAUCAGUCACACUGGAACUGAGACACGGUCCAGACUCCUACGGGAGGCAGCAGUGGGGAAUAUUGGACAAUGGGCGCAAGCCUGAUCCAGCCAUGCCGCGUGUGUGAAGAAGGUCUUCGGAUUGUAAAGCACUUUAAGUUGGGAGGAAGGGCAGUAAGUUAAUACCUUGCUGUUUUGACGUUACCAACAGAAUAAGCACCGGCUAACUUCGUG
RNAcentral lists this ribosomal RNA (484 nucleotides) under uncultured bacterium. Its description in RNAcentral is "partial 16S ribosomal RNA". It matches the Rfam family "Bacterial small subunit ribosomal RNA", at positions 30 to 507 of the family's 1533-position model. The record is from RNAcentral.